GUAUCCAACCUGCCCUUUACUCGGGGAUAGCCUUUCGAAAGAAAGAUUAAUACCCGAUGGGAUAAUCAUUCCGCAUGGUUUGAUUAUUAAAGGAUUCCGGUAAAGGAUGGGGAUGCGUUCCAUUAGGUUGUUGGUGAGGUAACGGCCCACCAAGCCUUCGAUGGAUAGGGGUUCUGAGAGGAAGGUCCCCCACAUUGGAACUGAGACACGGUCCAAACUCCUACGGGAGGCAGCAGUGAGGAAUAUUGGUCAAUGGGCGCGAGCCUGAACCAGCCAAGUAGCGUGAAGGAUGACUGCCCUAUGGGUUGUAAACUUCUUUUAUAUUAGAAUAAAGUGCAGUAUGUAUACUGUUUUGUAUGUAUAAUAUGAAUAAGGAUCGGCUAACUCCGUGCCAGCAGCCGCGGUAAUACGGAGGAUCCGAGCGUUAUCCGGAUUUAUUGGGUUUAAAGGGAGCGUAGGUGGACUGGUAAGUCAGUUGUGAAAGUUUGCGGCUCAACCGUAAAAUUGCAGUUGAUACUGUCAGUCUUGAGUACAGUAGAGGUGGGCGGAAUUCGUGGUGUAGCGGUGAAAUGCUUAGAUAUCACGAAGAACUCCGAUUGCGAAGGCAGCUCACUGGACUGCAACUGACACUGAUGCUCGAAAGUGUGGGUAUCAAACAGGAUUAGAUACCCUGGUAGUCCACACAGUAAACGAUGAAUACUCGCUGUUUGCGAUAUACAGUAAGCGGCCAAGCGAAAGCAUUAAGUAUUCCACCUGGGGAGUACGCCGGCAACGGUGAAACUCAAAGGAAUUGACGGGGGGCCCGCACAAGCGGAGGAACAUGUGGGUUUAAUUCGAUGAUACGCGAGGAACCCUUACCUCGGGCUUAAAUUGCAGUGGAAAUGAUGUGGGAAACAUGUCAGUGAGCAAUCACCCACUGUGAAGGUGCUG
This 930-nucleotide ribosomal RNA is filed under the name Bacteroides fragilis. Its description in RNAcentral is "bacterial SSU rRNA". It matches the Rfam family "Bacterial small subunit ribosomal RNA", at positions 117 to 1043 of the family's 1533-position model. Lineage: Bacteria; Pseudomonadati; Bacteroidota; Bacteroidia; Bacteroidales; Bacteroidaceae. The record is from RNAcentral.